AUGUUUUGGAGAAAGCAAGCUUCUCAUUUUGAUUUAGAUGAUGCUGAGCAGAGACAAGCAAAGAUCAAGGAACUGAGAGCUGCACUUGGGCCUUUGUCCGCCUGUGGAGAAAAAUAUUGCAAUGAAGCAUGCUUGGUAAGAUAUCUCGAGGCUCGCAACUGGAAUGUUGACAAGUCUAGAAAAAUGCUUGAAGAAAGUCUCAAGUGGAGGGCAGCCAGGAGGCCUGAGGAUAUUCACUGGCCGGACGUUUCGGUAGAAGCAGAAACGGGUAAAAUGUACAGGGCACCUUUCACAGAUAGAGAGGGGAGAACCGUGAUCGUAAUGAGACCUGCAAAGCAGAAUACAUCAUCUCACGAAGGGCAGUUGCAGUAUCUUACAUAUACCUUGGAGAAUGCAGCCCUCAACCUGCCUCAAGGUCAAGACAAAAUGGUGUGGCUGAUAGACUUCACAGGAUGGACACUGGCCCAUAGAAGUCCCUUCAAGACUUCCAGAGAGAGUAUAAGUACCGUGCAAAACCAUUACCCGGAGAGACUCUCAGCUGCAUUUAUGUUCAAUCCGCCCAAAAUAUUUGAGGCUUCUUUUAAGGUUCUCAAAGUCCUGAUUGACCCGAAAUCGGCCCAGAAACUUAACUUUGUGUACAAGGAGAACGAGGAGAGCAUGAAGACAAUGUACAACCACAUUGAUCCAGAAGUCCUUCCUGUAGAGUUUGGAGGGAAGAACAAUGUAGUGUACAACCAUGAAGAUUACUCCAAGUUGAUGACAAAGGAUGACAUCAAAACGGCAAGCUUUUGGGCAGCAGAUGUUAACCAUGUCAUCAACGUGGACUCGGUUCCUGAGGUUAAGCCGAAGCCGUCACUAAUUGUUGCUAAAGCAAGUUGA
This 879-nucleotide ribosomal RNA is filed under the name Triticum aestivum (bread wheat). Its description in RNAcentral is "partial small subunit ribosomal RNA". The record is from RNAcentral. Lineage: Eukaryota; Viridiplantae; Streptophyta; Magnoliopsida; Poales; Poaceae.